Molecule: unclassified non-coding RNA, 292 nt
Filed under: uncultured bacterium
Lineage: Bacteria
Description: partial contains 16S ribosomal RNA and 16S-23S ribosomal RNA intergenic spacer region
Rfam family: Bacterial small subunit ribosomal RNA
Source: RNAcentral
UGGCGGCAGGCCUAACGCAUGCAAGUCGUGCGCCCGCAAGGGCGCGGCGAACGGGUGAGUAAUAGAUAGGUAACGUACCCUCGACAGGGAAAUACCCAGCCGAAAGGUUGGCUAAUGUCCCAUAUGCUCACGGGUUGGAAUACCCAUGAGGAAAGCUCCGGCGGUCGAGGAGCGACCUGUCUCCUAUCAGCUUGUUGGCGGGGUAAUGGCCCACCAAGGCAAUGACGGGUAGCUGGUCUGAGAGGAUGGUCAGCCACACUGGGACUGAGAUACGGCCCAGACUCCUACGGGA